Long non-coding RNA from Lolium rigidum, 1292 nucleotides. RefSeq lists it as uncharacterized. The transcript is spliced from 2 exons. The record is from RefSeq and is a predicted model, not a curated record. Lineage: Eukaryota; Viridiplantae; Streptophyta; Magnoliopsida; Poales; Poaceae.
ACUAGGGAGGGGCGCGGUUUCAUCCGCCAUGGGCGCUGUAGAGGUUCCAUAGCUGGAGCACGGGGGCAGCGUGGUGGGCUGUCCACGGUACCAUCCGCCAAGCUACUUCUUCCUGCAACCAACACCAAGGAACAAUCCCGUAGUUCUUCCUGCAACAAACGCCAAGCUACUUCUGAUUGACUGUCUCACUGCUGGUGAUCUAACACUGCAGUGGGUUUUGAUUGGUUUUGCAGACAUGCAGUAUUGGAGAUGAUGUACUGAGCUAGGCUGGGAAGGCACCUCAGCAUGCUGGAGACUGAACCAGCUGCUGCAACACAUCUAAUUCUCCCCGUUCCCCGUAUGUUUAACAAGGUCUGUUUGCAGGGGUAUGCACAAGCACGCGAGAUUAGGCUAGGGUACCUCGUCGCCGGGGAAGAAUGCCAGGUGCGUAUCCACGAUUCGAGAAAAGCAGAAGAAAAGAUCGGAUCAAACUUAACCCACACGUGCACCUGCUCAAGAACAAGAACAGAGGAGGCAGGGGAGGAGAUAUAAAAAGGAAAUCUGGAUAGGGAGUUUGCCUCUGAAUGUUGCGUGUGCUUCUAUUCCGUGAAGAGCAUGCUAACCUAUUGCUGUUCACGAUGACUAUGAUGUGUAAUUUGUAAAUCUUCUGUCCUUUCGUUCCAAAAAAGUUGGUAGGAUUUGUUUCAAACAAAUAAAUAUUCUGUCCUAUCAUCUUUGUAGAUGGAAGGAGUUCAUGAACUCCAUAAUUCAGUAGCCAUCAUGUUUGUAAUGUUAUUUUCCCAAUUUCCCAACAAUUGAAGCUUCAACUAUUGCUUAACGGAGAAAAUAAUUAGUAAAUUUGUUGAACAUUCUGAUACGUGUCAUGCUUCCUAUACUGUCAUUUGAACUUUCAAAGCCAAAAUGCUUUAUUGGUGUCUCGUGAAGUGGUGAUACAUAUAAUCUCCCAUGUUCAUCUAAUUGUGAGAUUUUAAUCAUAUAUUUGUUUUGGUAGCCGAACAAAGGUGUGAAAAAUAAUGGUAACUACUCUUGCAGGGGAACCGCUCCCAGCGAAGGGAGGGGUGCGAAGGGGUCGGCCAGCGGCAGGGGACGGAGCGCACAAGGGAGUUGGACGACGGCGGGAUGCCAAUGCCUAGGGGAGUCUGCCGACAACAGGGACGUGUAAGAAAAACAAAGUCUGCAUAUAAUUUUUUUUUUCAAAAGUUCCACAAAAAGCAUCAAACCUUAUUAAGUGCGAAUUAGGAUUUUCACCUUCUUAUCCUUUUUUUUUAGUGUUCACCUUCUUAUCUUGACAA